RNAcentral lists this long non-coding RNA (305 nucleotides) under Elaeis guineensis (African oil palm). RNAcentral describes it as "long non-coding RNA (EGUI_LNC021668)". Lineage: Eukaryota; Viridiplantae; Streptophyta; Magnoliopsida; Arecales; Arecaceae. The record is from RNAcentral.
GUUAGUGGAGCUCGAAGAGAAAAUCUCUGAAGAGCCAAGAGCUAUAGAUCCUCAGGAAUCCAUAGUCCAUGAGCCAGUAGUUGAUGUUCCUCUACCACCUCGUAGAUCUAGCUGGGUCUUCCAACCUCCUGAAAGGUACAUGGGUAUGCUUACGGAGAAAGUAAAGAAAAUGUUCCUUAUAGGAGAAAAGGGUCAUACUGAUGAUCCUAAUAUCUUUGAUGAGGUGAUGUCUGACAUUGAUUUUGAGAAAUGAUUAGAUACUAUGAAGUUAGAAAUUAACUCAAUGCACUCGAAUUAAGUAUGGA